CUCUUAGCUCAGAAUUCAUCUCCUCCGUUAAAAGUUUUGUCACAACAAUCAACACCGCUUUGAUUCGGGAGAUGCAAAGAUCAGUACACUACACCUGCAAAAAUCUUCAUAUCGCCGAAACCAGGUACUUGAAAAUGGAGCUGACCCUGGUACAGGCUUAGGCCUUGCUUUCAUGCGCACCCAAUCAUUGUCUUUGCAUACCAAGCAUUCAAACGAAUCCUUCUUAGACUGAGGAAUCUCUGGACGGAAGUUCUACGAGAGCGGCAUUUUUCAUUUUGAUCUGCGUUUUUCUCCAAUCAAGAAACAGCAGCAAAAUGUUAAAGGCCGUCUCCUUCAGCAACAAAAGACGAAGUAUAGCUCCAAACACCAAUUACUAUCUCCCUUCGCACUACAUCAAAACAUGACAAAAUACGAGGCUUUCAUGCCAAUGCCAUCAUUGGUGCAUCACCGAAAUACAAAUCUGCAUUCUUUAGUACAAAGUAUGGAAACAUAUAUAUUUUUCCACGUAUAUUGAAAUGGUCAUGUCAACGCUAUGCACUGUAUCUAAAUAUGCUAAUAGGUCUCGUCAAGGAAGUUAUAGUUCAAGAUGCCACAGAAAGUACUUGGUGGGAGGGAGGAAAUAAUAAAAGACACCCAUGUGAUACCAAACGAACAAAUAUUUAACGUAACUGUGAAAUUCCGAUUCUUGCAAGUGUCACAAGGAUGAAAUACACAGCUGAGAAUAAAUAGCAGCCAUACUGAGGGGAUGAUGGUCAUUCCCAUACAUUUUAAAUGCCAUUCCACUAUACAAGAAUACACGCAACUUUCAUUGCUUCAAAUUGGUAUCUAUAUA
Populus euphratica (Euphrates poplar) is the source of this 832-nucleotide long non-coding RNA. RefSeq lists it as uncharacterized. The transcript has 2 exons. NCBI's taxonomy places the organism in Eukaryota, Viridiplantae, Streptophyta, Magnoliopsida, Malpighiales, Salicaceae. The record is from RefSeq and is a predicted model, not a curated record.